RNAcentral lists this ribosomal RNA (460 nucleotides) under uncultured bacterium. RNAcentral describes it as "partial 16S ribosomal RNA". It matches the Rfam family "Bacterial small subunit ribosomal RNA", at positions 338 to 795 of the family's 1533-position model. The record is from RNAcentral.
CCUACGGGUGGCAGCAGUGAGGAAUAUUGGUCAAUGGACGAGAGUCUGAACCAGCCAAGUAGCGUGAAGGAUGACUGCCCUAUGGGUUGUAAACUUCUUUUAUAUGGGAAUAAAACAGGGUAUGCAUACCCUCUUUUAUGUACCAUAUGAAUAAGGAUCGGCUAACUCCGUGCCAGCAGCCGCGGUAAUACGGAGGAUCCGAGCGUUAUCCGGAUUUAUUGGGUUUAAAGGGAACGUAGGUGGAUUGUUAAGUCAGUUGUGAAAGUUUGCGGCUCAACCGUAAAAUUGCAGUUGAAACUGGCAGUCUUGAGUACAGUAGAGGUGGACGGAAUUCGUGGUGUAGCGGUGAAAUGCUUAGAUAUCACGAAGAACUCCGAUUGCGAAGGCAGCUCACUGGACUGCAACUGACACUGAUGCUCGAAAGUGUGGGUAUCAAACAGGAUUAGAUACCCUGGUAGUC